GAUGAACGCUGGCGGCGUGCCUAAUACAUGCAAGUCGAGCGAACAGAUGAGGAGCUUGCUCCUCUGACGUUAGCGGCGGACGGGUGAGUAACACGUGGAUAACCUACCUAUAAGACUGGGAUAACUUCGGGAAACCGGAGCUAAUACCGGAUAAUAUAUUGAACCGCAUGGUUCAAUAGUGAAAGACGGUUUUGCUGUCACUUAUAGAUGGAUCCGCGCCGCAUUAGCUAGUUGGUAAGGUAACGGCUUACCAAGGCAACGAUGCGUAGCCGACCUGAGAGGGUGAUCGGCCACACUGGAACUGGGACACGGUCCAGACUCCUACGGGAGGCAGCAGUAGGGAAUCUUCCGCAAUGGGCGAAAGCCUGACGGAGCAACGCCGCGUGAGUGAUGAAGGUCUUCGGAUCGUAAAACUCUGUUAUUAGGGAAGAACAAAUGUGUAAGUAACGAUGCACGUCUGGACGGUACCUAAGCAGAAAGCCACGGCUAACUACGG
RNAcentral lists this ribosomal RNA (496 nucleotides) under uncultured bacterium. RNAcentral describes it as "partial 16S ribosomal RNA". It matches the Rfam family "Bacterial small subunit ribosomal RNA", at positions 28 to 506 of the family's 1533-position model. The record is from RNAcentral.